Molecule: ribosomal RNA, 253 nt
Filed under: uncultured bacterium
Lineage: Bacteria
Description: partial 16S ribosomal RNA
Rfam family: Bacterial small subunit ribosomal RNA
Source: RNAcentral
UACGAAGGGGGCUAGCGUUGCUCGGAAUCACUGGGCGUAAAGGGUGCGUAGGCGGGUCUUUAAGUCAGAGGUGAAAUCCUGGAGCUCAACUCCAGAACUGCCUUUGAUACUGAAGAUCUUGAGUUCGGGAGAGGUGAGUGGAACUGCGAGUGUAGAGGUGAAAUUCGUAGAUAUUCGCAAGAACACCAGUGGCGAAGGCGGCUCACUGGCCCGAUACUGACGCUGAGGCACGAAAGCGUGGGGAGCGAACAGG